Molecule: ribosomal RNA, 497 nt
Filed under: uncultured bacterium
Lineage: Bacteria
Description: partial 16S ribosomal RNA
Rfam family: Bacterial small subunit ribosomal RNA
Source: RNAcentral
GAUGAACGCUGGCGGCGUGCCUAAUACAUGCAAGUCGAGCGAACGGACGAGAAGCUUGCUUCUCUGAUGUUAGCGGCGGACGGGUGAGUAACACGUGAAUAACCUACCUAUAAGACUGGGAUAACUUCGGGAAACCGGAGCUAAUACCGGAUGAUAUUUUGAACCGCAUGGUUCAAAAGUGAAAGACGGUCUUGCUGUCACUUAUAGAUGGAUCCGCGCUGCAUUAGCUAGUUGGUAAGGUAACGGCUUACCAAGGCAACGAUGCAUAGCCGACCUGAGAGGGUGAUCGGCCACACUGGAACUGAGACACGGUCCAGACUCCUACGGGAGGCAGCAGUAGGGAAUCUUCCGCAAUGGGCGAAAGCCUGACGGAGCAACGCCGCGUGAGUGAUGAAGGUCUUCGGAUCGUAAAACUCUGUUAUUAGGGAAGAACAUAUGUGUAAGUAACUGUGCACAUCUUGACGGUACCUAAUCAGAAAGCCACGGCUAACUACGUG